UUUAUGUGUUUAGGGUGAGGAAGGUCAGAAGGGAACCAAAGGAUAUCCAGGACGUGAUGGGAACCGAGGUCGAGGGGGGAACUCAGGCAGGCCGGGAGAAUCAGGCGGGUCCGGAGAGCCAGGACAUCCAGGACACGAUGGUCCCAGAGGUCCUCCUGGAGGCAAAAGCAAGUCUGAUUGCGAGCUGAUCACCUACAUCAGAGACAACUGCCCAUGCUGCCACGGUACGUACAUCUCUAUUUUGUCACUCAGAACAACAGGGUAAGUACAGAAACAAGACUUCAGCUCUAAGGUUUACAGGAGAGAGGCCGAAAGAGUAAAAUCAUCUUGGGAAAGGUAACUUCCUCCGGCCUCCUCCCAAACCCAGCCUGAGUUCAGACCUCCUGGGGGGGUGUUCGCAGAUCAGCCGCCGCUCCUUUUGCAUUGAAGUUGAGGUGAUUAGGGCGUCUGAUCAGGAUCCUCCUGGGCGCCUCCUUUUUGGAGGUUUUGUCGGCACGUCUAACUGCCAAGAGACCCUGGAGUCGACCCAGAACUCCCUGGAGGGCUUAUAUACCUCAUCUGGAAAAGGAAGUCCUCAGGAUCCCCCAGGAGGAGCCAGAAGACGGUUGUCCAGCCUGCUGCCCCUGCGACCCAAAACCUCAGAAGAUGGACGGAUGGAUGAACAGUUUGUAGUUUAUCCAUAAACUUACACAGACACGUGGGUCUCACUCACGUUGCUCCCCCCUCCAUUCAGAUCCCUGCUCUUUACUUUCAGUAAAGAACCGGAACAGACUACAAUGCAUUGUAAAAGUCUGCACUAAGAUCGCAGGGACGGCCUUCCCCACCUAUUUCAGGUCUAGGUUUCCCAGAAAAUUCAGGCCGAUCCGUGCCACCCUUUGUGCAGGGAAUUCCGUUCUGUCGAAGGUACAAUGUGCCAAGAUGCAGAACCAGUACAUUUAAGCACUCUUUUCCCUGCUGCCUUUGGUUUCUUAAGCAACUCACUGUGAUUUAUAUGGAAUGCAUUGUUUUAUUUUUAUUGCAUAGGAUGGGCGAUGGCUG
Micropterus dolomieu (smallmouth bass) is the source of this 1038-nucleotide long non-coding RNA. RefSeq lists it as uncharacterized. NCBI's taxonomy places the organism in Eukaryota, Metazoa, Chordata, Actinopteri, Centrarchiformes, Centrarchidae. The record is from RefSeq and is a predicted model, not a curated record. The transcript has 5 exons.